RNAcentral lists this long non-coding RNA (2861 nucleotides) under Lotus japonicus. RNAcentral's name for it is "long non-coding RNA (LJAP_LNC001910)". Lineage: Eukaryota; Viridiplantae; Streptophyta; Magnoliopsida; Fabales; Fabaceae. The record is from RNAcentral.
GAGCUGAUUUGUAACUGUGAGGAGCUGAUCUGUUCAAUUUGCAAAGGUUACUGAUUCAGAGAAUUCUCAGUGACUGAUCUGCUAUGCUCCAGAUUCAUGAGGCCCAUUCCAGAGCUAGUUGGAUAAGUUGGUAUCAAUAGAAGAAAACCUCUAAGAUGGAAUAUUAUGUUGUAGGUGGUAGGUGAAAUAAUAAAGUAUUAUGUCCAAUUUUGAGAAAAAGGUGAAAGUUACCUUGUUAGAGUUUUUCUAUGAAAUGUAUCAAACUUGCACCAGGCUAUUCAAUCUGAUUCUUUAUUGUGCCCAACUCAAACUCUGUUUAGUUGAUGCAGAGUUAAGGACCAAUUACUCUUUUCAGUAUUUUUAAGAAAAAUCAGAGAGAAUCAAACACUAACUAUACAAACGAGAAAAAUAAGAGAGAAACAAACACUAACAAUUACUCUUUUGGACAAAUAAGUUUAACCCCUGCUCCUCAAUUCACUAUACCAAAUACUUCACAAAUCACUCCUCUCAAGGUUAAUCUUGCUGACAAAUAUCGCUAUGUAAGGUUCUCAUGCACAUGCCUCCACAACAACAUAGUACUCGAUCACCCCCUGCAGUUGUGUAACUUUUGUUCUCUUCUUUUACUCUCCGAAAGCAAUAGAUAAGAAAAUGAAGACAAAAUUGUGGUUGAUAGAAAUUUUUAAGAAAAUAUUCCUUGAAAGGCAAACUAGUACUUGUCAGUAUUCAUAAAACACAUUUGCAAUUCGGCCAUUCCCAUGAAAACAAAGAAUCCAAUGCUACAAUUUUCUCACUCACUCAGUAAUGAUGCUACAAAAUAAUGGAGGAGAUGUAGAAGAAGCAAAGACAGAAUCUGUAAAGGUAGUGGAUGCUUUAGGUACCUAGACAUGAGACCUUCACGUAAUCACAUGAUUAGGUCAAUAAAUCACCAAAGGAUGUGCCAAUUGUUUUAACCUUAGUGAGAAUCUUAGGAUCGACCACUAUACUAUUAUUACCACCCUCUAGGUACUUUUCCCUAAUAUCAAUACACACAUUUAGAAAAACAAGACCCUAUGUACUUGUCUUCUUUUAUUUCCCAACUUUGUGUUUGCAUUGGUGGCCAAUUAAGUCUGCUACUUGAACCAUUAUAGCAUAGAAUUAUGAUGCACAUCGUCCUCAUCAACCUUCCUUCUAAUUACUAUUAGCCAAAACACACUGCACUAUCAAUGGCCUUAGAAGAACUACUACCACCAUAAAAAGAUAUUAGUUGAUACCUCUUUUUUUUAAGCAAGUGAUCAAAAUCAUAUUCCAAGUAGGAAUAAGAGGCCCGGUACGUUCAUGUGAUCUUUGGAGAGAAACACAAUCAUUCAUGCAAAAUGCAUGUAAGGCGAAAACUGAUGGCUCGUGUAUGUUUCUACUAAAACAUGAUAAUCUAGUCACCAUUUCUGACAAUGGAAAGCAGCUCAACAAGUCCUGAGACAUUUACAACCUAACGAUGAAAGUCAAUAUAUAUUGGGGCAUGGUAAUCAUGAUGCAUAGUUAUUUCACAAGCUUGAAUGAUUUUCAAACUGACUUUUCCUGUUUCAAACCAUUUACCUCUUGCAAUAUUGGUUUCAUUGCAAGUUAUUUAUAAUGUUAAUGACAACUCUAAAUUUGGAGCUUCAGAGCCCUAGACAAGGCAUCAAGAGACCUGUUUUUUAUGAUCCAAUUUUUUGGAUGUCAUAUCUCAUAUCUCAUAUCUUGUGCAUUAAAAUGAACAGUUAUGAUCCAGGUGUAACUCUUAAGCUGGCCAAGUUACACAUACCAAUGAAGGUUUUUAUGUGGCUGGCGGAGAGCAGUGUGUGGACGGGGUAUUUGUAAAAGACUCUUCGAUUUUAAGUUAGUGGAAGAACCAACAGAAUGAGACUAAGGUGAACAGUGAUAUGCUGUUGUUACUUUCUUUGUAUUUGCUGUCUAUCAUUAACCAAGACCUGGAUGCAGAUAUUACUUUUCACAGAGGCAUUUCUCUUGGUCAAUUCUCCAGUUUAUCUUGAACAAAACUUUCAUUCCUUGAACAUAUAUUACCAAAAUUGCAAUAUUUAACUAGUGCUCCUUUAUGUUGUUUGGUUAUUUCCUUUGACCUCACAAUGUCAUUGCAUUUGUAGCUGAAAAUAUUAUUCUUCCAGAUGUGCAUUUGUAAAUGACUUUUAUACUUAGGUAACAGUUUUCUCCACAAAUUAGAAUUGUGUGCACUGUUUUAUGCCUCUCACCUCAAAUUAUUAAAGAAUCCCCUAUCUUGGUCUGAUGUCCAUCCCUACAUUGAUUUUAGAGACACAUGUUCCCAGUUUUGAGAGAAGUUUCAGUUGAAAUUCCAAACUCUUAAUCUUGUCUUAAUCUAUGACUGUUUUAGUAGCUUUUGCAUUAUAAUGUUUUACCACUUUGAAAUACAGAAGGAUAUCACUUGCAUUUACCAUAUUCUGCUGAUGAUCUUUUUCAUUGAGGCUCUAAAUUGGAUGAGCUUAUAACCUCUAGUUUUUGUUUUCUGAAUUAGGUAUCAUCUGUUUAUGAUCAAUCUAGAAUGCAAGAAAUUUGAGGAAAUUCUAAUGAGCUGAUUUGUAACUGUGAGGAGCUGAUCUGUUCAAUUUGCAAAGGUUACUGAUUCAGAGAAUUCUCAGUGACUGAUCUGCUAUGCUCCAGAUUCAUGAGGCCCAUUCCAGAGCUAGUUGGAUAAGUUGGUAUCAAUAGAAGAAAACCUCUAAGAUGGAAUAUUAUGUUGUAGGUGGUAGGUGAAAUAAUAAAGUAUUAUGUCCAAUUUUGAGAAAAAGGUGAAAGUUACCUUGUUAGAGUUUUUCUAUGAAAUGUAUCAAACUUGCACCAGGCUAUUCAAUCUGAUUCUUUAUUGUGCC